UACCAGCACCCCGAGUGGUCGGGACGAUUAUUGGGCCUAAAGCAUCCGUAGCCGGUCAUGCAAGUCCUCCGUUAAAUCCAGCCGCUCAACGGUUGGGCCGCGGAGGAUACUACGUGGCUAGGAGGCGGGAGAGGCAAGCGGUACUCAGUGGGUAGGGGUAAAAUCCUUUGAUCCAUUGAAGACCACCAGUGGCGAAGGCGGCUUGCCAGAACGCGCUCGACGGUGAGGGAUGAAAGCUGGGGGAGCAAACCGG
Molecule: ribosomal RNA, 253 nt
Filed under: uncultured bacterium
Lineage: Bacteria
Description: partial 16S ribosomal RNA
Rfam family: Archaeal small subunit ribosomal RNA
Source: RNAcentral